Molecule: long non-coding RNA, 6558 nt
Organism: Canis lupus familiaris (dog)
Lineage: Eukaryota; Metazoa; Chordata; Mammalia; Carnivora; Canidae
Exons: 12
Source: RefSeq, a predicted model, not a curated record
GGACGGUGGUGCAGGGGCCUCGGUCCUGAGCACCCCAGCCCAGGAGUUUGACCAUCCAGAGGAGCAGCUCCGGCAGCGGAGAAGCCCCGCACGCCCGCAGCCCGGGGUAGGACCGUGCGGAGAAUACGCUGGAGCCCAGUGCGUCGGCAGCAGGCAGGACGGAAAACCAAGCCAGAGGCGGGAGGGGCUGGCCUUCUGGAGAAGAGAAGGCCGUUUCCUGUCUACUUGGGAGACCCACAAAUAUUUUAUGAUGACUCUUGGAGCACCCCCUCCCCGCAAAACCAUUUUCUUUCCUCAUGAAUUUGUGGGAGCCACCCGGACUAAGGCAGAAGUAACAGAAGAACCGGAAUCGAUGUAAACAACCUAAGAGGAAUACCUCGGAAAGAAAAGAAAUAUGAUUUUUCCUGAUACACAUUUUUUAUUUUGAAAAAUCAUGAAGAUCUCCAUUAGGAAAUCAUUCUUCCCUGGCAUUGUGUUGCGUGCUCAACAAAUAGAAGUGGCUGUAGAGCAAGAAAUCUAAGGAUGACAUUAAAAGAAGACGUGACUAUGCCAGUGAAGCACUUGGAAAUUUCAGAUGAAAUAUGCUGCAUAAAAUCCACUGGGUGUGUCUGUAAUCUGAACUGAGGAAUUUGCAGAGGUGAAAUUGUCCAGGAAAUCGUUUUCCCAGAUGCUCUGUUUUCUGAUUUGAUGUUAGAGAAGCUGUCCUCCGAGGUGAACAUGGAAACUCACUGCACCUCAGGGAAAAACGGAGGAAUCCUGCAGAGGAUAUAUUACAUUUUCACUCCCUGCUCCCCCCCAAAAAUCUCUCAAAUGCAGCCAUGAUGCCAACCUCCUGAAUUAAAAAUGGAUAAACACAGUCAAUGUUUUACUAUCAUUACAUAUUUUCCAGACUACAGAAUACAGAAUUCUAUCACCAGCACGGAGUAUUUCCUACUUUCAUUACACAAUUUGGAGGCUGUGAAGUGAAAAUACACUUGAUUUAAAUAGCAGUGUAUAAAUCUGACAUCCUUCUCUACAAGACAUAUAUUUAUUCAGCAAACUUUGACUGAGCACCUAUUAUGACAGACCAGCCCUGUGCUGUGCCCUGCAAUGCUUAGCUGAAAGAAUCUGCACCCCAGAUGUGCUUACAGCUCUCCAAGGAAGACAUCGCGCACCGUCGCUAGGCCACCGUGUCGCUUGCCGUAAUGAAGGCGGAUGGGCAAGGUUAAGGAAGUGCUCAGGAAUGAUUAAUUCUGCCUUUGAGAGAGAAGUAGAAGAUGAGAGCAUGUGCCAAGAAAGGUUCAGUCCAACUGGUGUUUCAGUGAGAUGGCCUCCCCGAUGGUGUAGAGGCUGCUGCAGGCAACACCAACCCUCUGUGCAUUGACUCUGGGCCCUCGCAUAUUACAUGAUGAUUUAAAAUGUUCUUCAGUGGAGUCUGUCUCUGAGGGCAGAUGAGUAUGGAAAGAUUCUGUGUGGCCAUUCUAACCUAGACCACAGUGAGAAGGCUAGGGCUCUGCGGGGCGCACCUCACCUCCGUGUAGAUGGACCCGGUGCACGGUGGCUGGAGCAUUUCUGAUGACCCCUGCAUAACAUCCUGUUCAGGCACAGGCUGCAGUUGUUCCCUUGUCUGGACAAGAGCUUCUAACUGAGGAUGCACGAGGAACUGACGUUGUGGGGAAGGAGAAGAAGGGAUAGGGGAGAGAGUGAGACCAGAGAAGGGGAGGCUGCAGGUGUGGAACUCAUCUGGCUUCAUUUCAAUAUUGCUCUCCCAGAUUCCAAAUGGAAAAUAGAACUGAACACCCAUGAUUAAAAAAUGCAAUACAUGCUAAGAAAGUCUAAAGUAAUUUACACCGGGCAUUAAAGUGUUUUGCAUGAGAAUAUAGUAUGAUGGAGACAACCGAAGAAUUAUGGCUUUCAUUAAAAGGUUUGCAACUCAGUGUGCUGUGAUAUAACUAUAGCAGUUUUUCUGUCUUGGUGAUGGUUUUUUAUUUUAAACACUGCCUUCCAAACCAAGGAAUGCAAAUGUGUCGGGAGCGCUCAGCCUGGGGGUUUUAACUUGCUGCCACCUCUUACUAAUCACUUCCCUCUAGGACUUUACCUGCUGAUGCCAAGGUGAAAGGUGAGCAGUUACACCUCUAUGGCCCUCAACCUCCCAUAUCCUGAGCCCAGCUAUAAAGUAAACUGUCAUCUCUUUCUUCAUUAUUCAAAGUUAGCAUUCGCUAGUUCAAAGCCCAUUUGAGAUUAUGCAUCAAGAAUGAUAUACAUUAAGGUUGGGAUUAAAGGAAAAUCAGUUACAUGAAAGAAAGGUGUUUUUGCCACAAAUCUUGUGUGUGCAUGUCAAGAAGUAUAUUCAUUGCCUAAUUUAAAAAGAAACCAGGACAACUCCCAGAGAUAUAUACCUGCAUCUGGCCAGUCUUUCAAUGAGGACGCUUUCUGUUUGAAGUUUGGCUGUGAAGUUAGAGGAAAAACAUCUUUCCCUGGCUAGCACAUGCUGCUUGUUUAAAAAAAAAAAAAUGCUGGAUGGAAUUCUGAUUAUAGGCACUCAUUAAGAGUAAAAUCAAAAGUUGACUUCAACCUGAAUCUGCUUAGACAGGGUAAGAAAACUGGGCUUAGCAGUAAGAGAGACAGAUCUAGGCUAGCAAUAGGAGGAGUUAGAUGAACUUUCACAAUCUCUUUUAACCCAGGGAUUCCAUAAUUUUAUCAGUUACUGCCUAACUGAAUUCCUGGUCUUGCUGGCCUGUUUGGAGCAACUUUUCACUGAUUUGAUACAAAUUUUGAUGAUGCUUAUUUGGAAUUAAGGGAAUGACAAGAAGCCAGGCACUGAAUUAGGUGCUUUUCACGAGUCCUCCCGUUGGAUCCUCACAUCAGUUCCUCGAUUCAGAUUAUUAUGAAUUUCUACCACACGUCAUCCUCCCCCUGCAUAGUUUACCAUAUUCCUUGGACCUAUCUUUAAAUUGGGCACGUGGGGGUCUCAGAUCUGAUGCAAAACCGAAUUUUAAACUACUGCGAUCAAGUUCUGUACAAUGUCUGGGACGCCGUGAGCUCAUGCAUGUUAAACAACCCAAAAUCACGAUGCCUGUGUUCUGCUGGGUCAGUUUAUAACCCGUACAGAGGACAGAAUGUGCAAACCGUAUGUGUGAAGGUGAAUUUACGAAGAUGCUGGGGCUCUGGAGCAACCUGGCUCCAGAGACUGAAUGCCUCCUGGUUUCUGUGAUGUUCCUAAUUCCACCCUGGCUCCCGGCACGUCUGGCGUUAGGAAUGGGUUUGAUAAAUGUGUGUGGAACUGAACUGAGGCACACUAACCUCUCUUCCAGGCCCCCCCUAAAUCGCCCCUGGUCCUCUCGCUUCCAAAUAUUAUGAUGGGAAGGUCAGAGGGGCAAGACCUUCCCAUGUGUUUCUGGCAUUCCCUCUGAUCAAGACUUGAUAAGCCAGAGUGUUAUCUGAGGCCUCCAAAGCAGAUGCUCAGGACCCGGUUCCACUUUUAACUCUGAGUCAGCUUUUGCUAAAGGACUUAUGGGGUCUGGAUAGGAGCUCUGUGAUCUGUGGGAUUUGAAGAGAAGCACCCGAUUCUUCUGUAACUUGGGGAGGGCGCAGAAUAUUGCGGUGGGCAGACACUAGUGGAAACCAUACCUCUGUCUCAUGGUUUUGCACCCAGCUUAGGCAUCUCAUCACUCCCAUCUGGUUUUGCUCUUGUCUAACAAAAACAUCAAAGCAGACUUGGCAAGGAUCAUCGCCCAAAUAUGCUUUCAUUGUCUCUGUCAGUGAAUCUCUGUCCAGUCACUAAGGGAGAAUGUCUUGCUGUGGUUAAUGUCACUUGUUUCGUGGAAAACACUAACUUAAGCAACUGUACCUAAUCCUGAAUAAAUCCAAUGGCUUUAUAAUGAAAGAGAAAACAAACAUUUACAGAGUCGCUUAAUUUGAUCCAGGCAUUUUAUUUCAUGCAACUCUGUUCCUAAAUAUCUAUCUUACCGGUAAGGAAGCACAGGGUCCGAAAGAUUAGACAAUUUGCUCGUGAUCACAGGGUGUCGUGGUGGAGCUAGUGACGGAGUUAGGAUUCGUACUGAGGUCCAUUUGAGAAGAGAGUCCUAGUUCUUCUGCCGAACUCUUAAGACCUUUACUGGAUCAGGAGAGACACAGAAUCACUGACUCGUUACUCUGCUUCUCCAUCCGGACGUGGCAUGAGCUACUCAGGGCUGUGUCUCUCUUCCAAGGAGGAUCCACGAAGUGUUGACACUCACUUCUGUGGACGUGCACACGGACGCCCAGCUGUGUUCAGAUGUAAACAACUGCUACCACCAGAAAAUAGCCCAACCUCAUUGAAAUGGUGAAAGGGACCUCAACAUAUUCUUUAUAUUUGCUUCCUAAUCAUCAAAGUGAAACCUGGAUAUAAUAGACAAUGCAUUUAUUCACGUGGCACUCAGGCGCGCCCCACCACCAAAUAACCCAGGCACGGUCAAGCAGUUUGGCAACUUGGAAAUGGUUCCCGGCCUUCUCCAUGAAAAGAUGUGUAAUCAGUGUUUGGUAGAUGUUCGAUAAGUAUCUGAUGAGUGUAGUUGGGACUCUAUGUUGGAGGGUGGAAUGCUAAGCCACCACCCCGUUUUGUGGCGACGGAAAGUGGUUACUUCCUUGUAGCGCCCUGAUACACUGCCACUCUCUCGGGGAUCGACACCCCCUACCACCAUAGCUACAGUGUAAGAGUUCUAGAAUGCGGCUCUGUGGGCAACGUUUCCCUGAUGAGGUUUCUACCAGAUUGUCCUCUAAUGGGUAGCUGUUAUCUAAGAUUUGCCAACAACUGUUUCAAGGAAGAACUGUUUCCCCAUCUCUCCCUGGCCACAUGCCCAUCUUCUCACUACCACCAUAUGCAAAUGUGGCUCAUGGAACCAUCACACAGCUGUGACAUGAAUAACCAUCUCUGAUCCUCCGUCCCAUCAACAGUGAAGGGAGUCAUUCUUCGGACUUUGAGAAAGAAAGGAAAUUCUUCAGAAAUGUUUAGAGACUGUCCCAGGAUACUUAUAUCUCAACAUUGAGUCAAAGUUAGCACACCAGGUCUUCCUGUGAACUCAGAAGUAAAAAUCAAUGGAAAGACACCCCCCCCCCCCACAAGACAGUGGUUAAUACCCGGAUACAUUCAUACUCCCAGCUGUUUUUACGACACCAGUCUCAGAGGAUUUCGUAGGAGUGCUCUCCCUGCAGACGGCGGGAAACCUGUACGUGCUUAUGCCUUUGUGCACCAUUUUUCUACUUCUACAAGUUACAGGACAGAUUUUCCUUACCUGAACUUGAAAUAACCAUUAUUUUGCCUCUCCUCUCCAUUUCUGCUAUUUGUUUUUGGCUGUUUUUCUGAAAUGAGAAUAAUGGCAAGAAAUAAAAAAAGAAGUAUCGUUCAAGCUUUUUUUUUUUUUUUAAUGCUAGGGUUUACUUAAAAGAGGUGUUUAUAAAACAGGUAAAGUUCAGCUUGCUGGCCUCUUUGGUGUAGAAGGUGAAAACUAUGGAAGAAGGCCAACAUGCUAACUGAUGCCUGAGAAAAACUGCAUCCCCACCAGGAGCUUGGAAGGAAAGCCACGGAAUGGAAGGCACAAAAUAAUUGCAAAACAUCUCGGAAAUCUUGUUCUGAGCCAUAUGAUGAGCUAUCCGUGUCUCUUCAUGGAUUGGUUUCUUGUUUUGUUUUGUUUGUUUUGUUUUGUUUUUAAGAAAAAUGAGAUGAGACACUUUUAAUUUUCCCCUCCUCUGUAGUCUUGGAGGUUGUUUAAUCUCAAGUGAACUCAAUUCACAUUUUCCUGGCAGUGUUAGCUAUCAGCUCAAAGCAUUUUACUCAUUGCAUCAUACUGCCAGUCAGCAAGCAGGGACCUAAUUAGCUCUUUGCUUUAAUGGCAAUAGUUAAAUUUACAUUAUUAAUUCAAAUAUUACAGACUCUGUGGACUUGGGCACAUAGCUGACAUAAAGAUGUAAAAUGAAUAAUAAGGUGCUGAAAAACACCAGAGUCAUUAUUCCCAUCAUGUUCAAACUUUGAGCUAUAAUGAUAUCAAUUAAAACUCUAAUCCUGGCAAAAAAAAAAAAUAUUUUAAAAAAAAGCAAAAAGCUUUGCCGGGUCCCUUUUGUUAUAAAAGCUGCAGUUAUAUUUAAAUGUUGGGCUGAAGUAUUCAAGUUAUACUUUGCAAAAUACAAUGGUCGCAUAAGUCAAGAGGCAUAAUUACAGUUCUGAUUACAUUUUUGCUUUUAAAAAAUUCCCAAACAGUAAAAAUAUAGUGAGUUUGUCAGCAUCCUGUUGUGCAUCCCUGGCUCUUCCUACGUCCUGAAACCCUGCAAUCACUCUGCAGCGUCAAAACCUGUUUGGGUUGCAAGACAGAUGGGACCUUCAAAAUGAAAUGUACCUAUGACUGUUUGCUACUAUAUAUAUAAAAUGUCUCAUUUAGUCUCAUCUGUGAUUUUCCAAGAGGAAAAUGUUUCCUGGAGCAAUUUAUCUCAGUCCUACAGGUUUGUAUCACUGAAUGACCAUCUGAAAAGCAGGACCCGAGUCUUUUCUUAAAGGGAAACUGCAUGUGUUGGGGAUGUUUCUCCAUGCAGUAGUGGAACAGUAUU